UACAGAGGUCUCAAGCGUUGUUCGGAUUCAUUGGGCGUAAAGGGUGCGUAGGCGGCGCGGUAAGUCGGGUGUGAAAUCUCGGAGCUUAACUUCGAAACUGCAUUCGAUACUGCCGUGCUCGAGGACUGGAGAGGAGACUGGAAUUUACGGUGUAGCGGUGAAAUGCGUAGAUAUCGUAAGGAAGACCAGUGGCGAAGGCGGGUCUCUGGACAGUUCCUGACGCUGAGGCACGAAGGCUAGGGGAGCAAACGGG
This 253-nucleotide ribosomal RNA is filed under the name uncultured bacterium. RNAcentral's name for it is "partial 16S ribosomal RNA". It matches the Rfam family "Bacterial small subunit ribosomal RNA", at positions 524 to 776 of the family's 1533-position model. The record is from RNAcentral.